RNAcentral lists this ribosomal RNA (470 nucleotides) under uncultured bacterium. RNAcentral's name for it is "bacterial SSU rRNA". It matches the Rfam family "Bacterial small subunit ribosomal RNA", at positions 333 to 793 of the family's 1533-position model. The record is from RNAcentral.
UCACUCCUACGGGGAGGCAGCAGUAGGGAAUCUUCCACAAUGGGCGCAAGCCUGAUGGAGCAACACCGCGUGAGUGAAGAAGGGUUUCGGCUCGUAAAGCUCUGUUGUUAAAGAAGAACACGUAUGAGAGUAACUGUUCAUACGUUGACGGUAUUUAACCAGAAAGUCACGGCUAACUACGUGCCAGCAGCCGCGGUAAUACGUAGGUGGCAAGCGUUAUCCGGAUUUAUUGGGCGUAAAGAGAGUGCAGGCGGUUUUCUAAGUCUGAUGUGAAAGCCUUCGGCUUAACCGGAGAAGUGCAUCGGAAACUGGAUAACUUGAGUGCAGAAGAGGGUAGUGGAAACUCCAUGUGUAGCGGUGGAAUGCGUAGAUAUAUGGAAGAACACCAGUGGCGAAGGCGGCUACCUGGUCUGCAACUGACGCUGAGACUCGAAAGCAUGGGUAGCGAACAGGAUUAGAUACCCUGGUAG